Homo sapiens (human) is the source of this 2449-nucleotide long non-coding RNA. NCBI's taxonomy places the organism in Eukaryota, Metazoa, Chordata, Mammalia, Primates, Hominidae. The record is from Ensembl.
AUUAUUAUUAUUAUUAUUAUCAUUAUUAUUAUUGUAGAGACAGUCUCACUAUGUUGCUGGACUGGUCUCAAACUCCUGGCUCCAAGCAGUUCUCCCACCUCAGUCUCCCAGUAUGCUGCGAUUACAGACAUGAGCCACCGUGUCUGGCCAGGAACAGCCUGUUAUAUUACGUCAGCUUUAUGACAGACUCCCACAUUUAUCUUUACUUUUCCCAGUUCACUAUGUGCCAGUGAAAUUUCAUGGCGUGUUAGUGAUCUGUGGAUUAACUUUUGAGAAACACUCUUUUAAGUAUCCCUUUAAUAAAUCAGAAUAAAAUAUAGUACAGCCUUUUACUCUAGCCCUUUAUAUGGCUAGAAGAGGUAGAAAUUAAAAUGUUGCUUCUCAUUUCUAGAAGAAAAAAUGUUAAAGGGAGUUUUCUAGCAUUGAUAGAUAACUUACUGUACACGAGAUGCUUAUUUAUAUUUUAUGGUUUUAUAUAGAGCAAGAAUUGGCAAACUUUCUGUAAAGGGCCAGAUAGUAAAUACGUUAGGUGUUGUGGGCCAUGUGGUCCCUGUCACACCUAUUCAACUUCCCCAUUUUAGUACAAAACAGCCAGAGACAAUAUAUAAACUACAGUAUCUGAACCUUGGCACUACCAAUAUUUUGGACCGGAUAAUACUUUGCUAUAGGAAGCUGCCCAGUGCAUCCUGGGAUGUUUAGGGGAAUCCUUGGCUUCUACCCACAAGAUGCCAGCAUUCAAUGCUGAUAGCUGCCCCUCCCCCAGUUGUGACAGUCAAAAAUGUCUCCAGACAUGGCCAGGUGUACCUAGAGGCCAAAAUUGUCCCUGGUUGAGACCCACUGAUGAAUGUGUGCAAUAGUGGUUCCCAUAAACUGCAUUUAAAAAACAGCUGUUAGGUUUCGUUUGGCUCAAGGGCUGUCAUUUUUCACUCCUCCCCCCAUAGAGUAUGUAAAAUGAUUAGAAAUGACAACAGACUAUCAUUUAGUAUCAGAUUAGUGUGUGUAUAUGCCAUAAAUUAUUUCCUUAGCAAUUCCUUUAGUAUUUUUGUUGCAAUAAUUCUUUAAACGCUACAUUUGUAAUGCUGUCUUGGAGCCUAGGAAUUAUUUUUGGAGAUAUUUAUGCAGACUUCCCUCUAUAAUGAUCGGUUUUUUAUUAUGGUUAAUCCAUAAAUAUUUUGAGAUGUAUCUCUAAAAAACGAGCACUCUUUGAAAACAUAACCACAAUGCCAUUAUUAUACCUACAAAAAUUAACCACAAUUCCUUAAAACAUAAUGAUGCCUUUUUGAAGAGAGAUAUAUUGAGACUUCAUUCUGGGGAGAAACCUUUCAGAUAACUUUAUUUACCUUUUCCUUUGCCAAGCAUACAACAUUAGAUUUGAAAUAUGCUUUGUAUCAAGUGGAAGUGUCUCUUAAGAUAGCCCCUAGAACAACACAUCAAGAGGCCCACCAAAGAGGACCAGAGAAAGGUGACUGAAGGAGCCAUACUCAGGCAGGGAAAUACGGAGAGAAAGCAGAGGAAUUGGCUCCUAAUGCUUCACUGUACUUAAUGAAAUAGAUACUCCAUCCUUACAGACAUAAUUGGAAGUAAGUCAAGUUCAACUUCUUUGUUUUAUAUGGAGAUAGAACAGUUUCAAUCACGUGAGUAUUAUAAGUGUGAAUUAUCUAAAGUAAAGCUAUAAAUCCAGAAUAUAUACCAGUAUCUCUAGAAUUUUUCAUAUUACUACAUUUACUUAAAAAAAAAGCUGGCCUCUAACUCUUAAGUCCUGUAUGACUGAUGGGCAGAAAAAGAGUGAGGUAUACACUGUUUCUUAAAAUUGUUCUACCAUGUUUCUAUGGUCUUAGAUUUCCCAAGAAUUUGAAUUUCUCCAAUUGCUUAUUUCCCUGAAAGACAUGACUAUGACUUUUCUCUGUAGUUCCUGCCUCAGUGAUCUCAUACAGUCUUUGGCUUAAAAUACCGUCUCUGUUUAACAGCUGCCAGAUUCACAUCUCCAGCCCAGACCUCUCCCGAACUCCAGCCUUGUUCUAACCUUUGGGCCGUUUCACUAGCUGUUGCAGAUGCCCUAUACCCUUACCUUCUCAUCUUUGCUCAAUUGUUGCCUUCUUACUGAAGCCUAUCCUGUCCAUACUAUUUAAUACUGCAGCUGUCUACCUUCCAGAUCGAGAAAUCCCAUACCCCUUUCACCUGCUCUAUGUUUUUCAUAUCACCUAUCACCCUAGAUACUUCACAUAUUUGUGUUUAUUGUUUACUGUUGUUUCCCCUGGCUAUAAUGUAAGCUCCAUGUGGGCAGGGGCCUUUGUUUUUUUCACUGAUAUAUCACAAGUGCCUAAAACAGUGCCUGACACGCAGAAGGGACUCAGUAAAUAUGUAUUGAAUGGUUUUGAUUUGAACUGAAUUGAACUAUGUAUCCAUGAUGCAAGUAAAGAAAUGUAAUCCAUAUACUUUCCUACCUACA